GACGAACGCUGGCGGCGUGCUUAACACAUGCAAGUCGAACGGAAAGGCCCUGCUUGCAGGGUACUCGAGUGGCGAACGGGUGAGUAACACGUGGGUGAUCUGCCCUGCACUUCGGGAUAAGCUUGGGAAACUGGGUCUAAUACCGGAUAGGAACCAUCUUUAGUGUGGUGGUUGGUAAGUUUUUUCGGUGUAGGAUGAGCUCGCGGCCUAUCAGCUUGUUGGUGGGGUAAUGGCCUACCAAGGCGGCGACGGGUAGCCGGCCUGAGAGGGUGUACGGCCACAUUGGGACUGAGAUACGGCCCAGACUCCUACGGGAGGCAGCAGUGGGGAAUAUUGCACAAUGGGCGCAAGCCUGAUGCAGCGACGCCGCGUGGGGGAUGAAGGCCUUCGGGUUGUAAACUCCUUUCGCUAGGGACGAAGCUUUUUGUGACGGUACCUAGAUAAGAAGCACCGGCUAACUACGUG
This 465-nucleotide ribosomal RNA is filed under the name uncultured bacterium. Its description in RNAcentral is "partial 16S ribosomal RNA". It matches the Rfam family "Bacterial small subunit ribosomal RNA", at positions 28 to 507 of the family's 1533-position model. The record is from RNAcentral.